RNAcentral lists this ribosomal RNA (396 nucleotides) under uncultured bacterium. RNAcentral describes it as "partial 16S ribosomal RNA". It matches the Rfam family "Bacterial small subunit ribosomal RNA", at positions 523 to 918 of the family's 1533-position model. The record is from RNAcentral.
AUACGUAGGUGACAAGCGUUGUCCGGAUUUACUGGGUGUAAAGGGCGUGUAGGCGGAGAUGCAAGUCAGGAGUGAAAUCUAGGGGCUCAACCCCUAAACUGCUUUUGAAACUGUAUCCCUUGAGUAUCGGAGAGGCAGGCGGAAUUCCUAGUGUAGCGGUGAAAUGCGUAGAUAUUAGGAGGAACACCAGUGGCGAAGGCGGCCUGCUGGACGACAACUGGCGCUGAGGCGCGAAAGCGUGGGGAGCAAACAGGAUUAGAUACCCUGGUAGUCCACGCUGUAAACGAUGAAUACUAGGUGUGGGGGGACUGACCCCCUCCGUGCCGCAGUUAACACAAUAAGUAUUCCACCUGGGGAGUACGAUCGCAAGAUUGAAACUCAAAGGAAUUGACGGGG